UUUUUUUUUUAUAUGGACUCAAAACUGCAGUACUGGCAGAAACGUGUCAUUGUGAUUCCACAAAUCAUCCACCAGCUGAACAUCGGCAAGAGAAAUGAUAACAAUUUUUUCCAUUCCAGAAGCUGGCUUAAUUUUUAACUCAUCGACUCAUGGUUUAGGCUAAAGAGAGACAGCUGCGGCUACUGGGCAUGCGCACAUCAAUAUAGCGUAAUAUAUUGACUGCACAACAAUAAUUACACUUUUCGCAUUAUUGUACGGGUUAGGUUUAGGGUUGGGGUAGAGUAGACGUCAAUAAAACACAAUAUAAAAGGUUGAAAAUUAAAUGUCAUUGUUAGUUUCCGGUCGGAGCUGUACUGACUGCAAACACAUCUUCCACAGAUGGGAGUCAUCUGCUGUGCCUUUAAAUCCAUGUCCAUGUCAAUUGUGAGAAAUCUCCGCCUGUAACUAUAAACUAAAUAAAAUCUCUUAACUAAAUCUUAGAAAAAAAUAAAUAAAUAACCACAAUCUCAAGCGCUCCAAAGCUCUGAAUUCCUCCCACUGAGAGAGAGAUGAUGCAUGAGGGAUAUUCGGGUGUAGCACUUCCAGCUCAUGAUUAUAUAUGACCACUGACACAGAAACAUUCGCUAUUUCUGGUGGCAAAAAAGAGGACGAGAUGCAAUCUAAUAAAUCAAGAGAGAAAAAGAUGCUGAGAAAAGUCAGAUGGAGCAGUAUUAAUAGCGGCAGACCAAACUUUUCUCAUGAUCCAGACACACCUGAAGAGAUUCAUUCUGAUGAUUCAGAAAGCUGUGGUUCCUUUUGUCCAACCAGCAGAAUAUUCAUCAAAUUCAGUCCCUGAUUAAACAGUCAUAUCUUAGUUAUUGAUAUGCAUAGUUAGGACAGGCAGUAGUAGAAGAAUGUGUUGUUUUUUCAUAUAGUCAUGUUUCCAUAUAAAUGAAACUUUACAGUAUGUUACUGCACUGUAUGAUACUCUGUAUACAUUUAAGACACUGACGGUAAUUAUUUAUGUAUAUAAUGUAAUAUAAAAAUGGAAAAUUAACUGUAAUGAAAUAAUUUUUUAGACUGAAUUUCACCGUAAUAAAUGGUAUAUAAAAGGAAUAAUUCUGGCUGACACUUCUUGUAAAAAUCAAUCUGAAUAAUAUUUCUGUUUACGUAAACUUGUUGUGUUUAGUUUGAUGUCGUAGGCUGCUUUCGUUUUUAUGACCAAAGUUCAGUGAGGAAAAUGUGUUUUGUUCAUAAUUUUAGACCCAAAUGAUCACAG
This is a long non-coding RNA of Onychostoma macrolepis, 1258 nucleotides long. RefSeq lists it as uncharacterized. Lineage: Eukaryota; Metazoa; Chordata; Actinopteri; Cypriniformes; Cyprinidae. The transcript has 3 exons. The record is from RefSeq and is a predicted model, not a curated record.